Molecule: long non-coding RNA, 599 nt
Organism: Salvia miltiorrhiza (redroot sage)
Lineage: Eukaryota; Viridiplantae; Streptophyta; Magnoliopsida; Lamiales; Lamiaceae
Exons: 2
Source: RefSeq, a predicted model, not a curated record
UUUUGCAAUAAGAAUAUUUAUGAUUUAAUUGGUUUUAUUUAUAAUUCCAAUUAUUAAAAGAUGAGUAAGAAUAUUGUUGGUGUUCUUAACUCAAGAGAAAAUGUUUUCAAUUAUUUAUUCAUUAAAUUUUGAAAACCCGGCUAAGUGAAUCAUAGAAUAUUAAGCACUACACCAUGACUUAAGAUUAGAAUUCAAGGAGACCUAUUGAGAAUAGAUUUCUUGUAGGCUUUGAGCAACAGGAGGAUUAGCACUGCUAUUCCGAUUCAGAGAUAAGGAUAAACGACAGGCUUUGCCUAAUCAGGUUGAGCAGUUGAUGGAAUGGAAUGAUGUUGAGCGGGUGUUCCUUUGACAUUUCAAGAAAUGUAACCUUGAGUAUACAUCUUCAUAUGUAUAUCUCACACGUUUUCCGCUGCAAAACACUUUGAUUAGGAUAGCUCUAUGUUAUGAAGUUGUUAUACGUGUUAUUGGGUAACCCACCUUAAUCAGUUCUCAUUUAUGUGUAUGUUUUAUAAGUAUCCAAAUAAUCAUAUAUAAUCCUAGCAUUUUAUCUAUGAGUGACAUUUCCAUAUACUUUAAUGUUAAGUAAUUGUCCAUUUCCA